CCUACGGGAGGCAGCAGUGAGGAAUAUUGGUCAAUGGUCGGGAGACUGAACCAGCCAAGCCGCGUGAGGGAGGAAGGUACAGAGUAUCGUAAACCUCUUUUGUCAGGGAACAAAGGCGGGGACGUGUCCGCGGAUGAGUGUACCUGAAGAAAAAGCAUCGGCUAACUCCGUGCCAGCAGCCGCGGUAAUACGGAGGAUGCGAGCGUUAUCCGGAUUUAUGGGGUUUAAAGGGUCCGCAGGCGGUCUGUUAAGUCAGCGGUCAAAGCCCGGGGCUCAACCCCGGCCCGCCGUUGAAACUGGCAGUCUCGAGUUGGGGAGAAGCAUGCGGAAUGCGCGGUGUAGCGGUGAAAUGCAUAGAUAUCGCGCAGAACCCCGAUUGCGAAGGCAGCAUGCCGGCUCCACACUGACGCUGAGGCACGAAAGCGUGGGUAUCGAACAGGAUUAGAUACCCGGGUAGUC
Molecule: ribosomal RNA, 459 nt
Filed under: uncultured bacterium
Lineage: Bacteria
Description: partial 16S ribosomal RNA
Rfam family: Bacterial small subunit ribosomal RNA
Source: RNAcentral